AUUGAACGCUGGCGGCAGGCCUAACACAUGCAAGUCGGACGGUAGCACAGAGGAGCUUGCUCCUCGGGUGACGAGUGGCGGACGGGUGAGUAAUGUCUGGGGAUCUGCCCGAUAGAGGGGGAUAACCACUGGAAACGGUGGCUAAUACCGCAUAACGUCGCAAGACCAAAGAGGGGGACCUUCGGGCCUCUCACUAUCGGAUGAACCCAGAUGGGAUUAGCUAGUAGGCGGGGUAACGGCCCACCUAGGCGACGAUCCCUAGCUGGUCUGAGGGGAUGACCAGCCACACUGGAACUGAGACACGGUCCAGACUCCUACGGGAGGCAGCAGUGGGGAAUAUUGCACAAUGGGCGCAAGCCUGAUGCAGCCAUGCCGCGUGUAUGAAGAAGGCCUUCGGGUUGUAAAGUACUUUCAGCGGGGAGGAAGGCGAUAAGGUUAAUAACCGCAUUGAUUGACGUUACCCGCAGAAGAAGCACCGGCUAACUCCGUGCCAGCCGCCGCCGUAA
Molecule: ribosomal RNA, 506 nt
Filed under: uncultured bacterium
Lineage: Bacteria
Description: partial 16S ribosomal RNA
Rfam family: Bacterial small subunit ribosomal RNA
Source: RNAcentral